RNAcentral lists this unclassified non-coding RNA (334 nucleotides) under soil metagenome. Its description in RNAcentral is "partial contains 5.8S ribosomal RNA, internal transcribed spacer 2, and large subunit ribosomal RNA". The stretch from base 1 to 120 matches the Rfam family "5.8S ribosomal RNA", at positions 35 to 154 of the family's 154-position model. The record is from RNAcentral.
GAUGAAGAACGUAGCGAAAUGCGAUAAGUAAUGUGAAUUGCAGAAUUCAGUGAAUCAUCGAAUCUUUGAACGCACAUUGCGCCCGCCAGUAUUCUGGCGGGCAUGCCUGUUCGAGCGUCAUUUCAACCAUCAAGCCCUGCUUGCGUUGGGGUCCUGCGGCUGCCCGCAGGCCCUGAAAACCAGUGGCGGGCUCGCUAGUCACACCGAGCGCAGUAAUACAUCUCGCUUUGGGCGUGCGGCGGGUUCUUGCCGUUAAACACCCCCUUUUUACCAAGGUUGACCUCGGAUCAGGUAGGAAUACCCGCUGAACUUAAGCAUAUCAAUAACCGGAGGA